This 253-nucleotide ribosomal RNA is filed under the name uncultured bacterium. RNAcentral describes it as "partial 16S ribosomal RNA". It matches the Rfam family "Bacterial small subunit ribosomal RNA", at positions 524 to 776 of the family's 1533-position model. The record is from RNAcentral.
UACGUAGGGGGCAAGCGUUGUCCGGAAUCAUUGGGCGUAAAGCGCGCGUAGGCGGUCCGGUAAGUCCGCUCUGAAAGUCCAGGGCUCAACCCUGGAAAGCGGGUGGAUACUGCCGGGCUAGAAUCCGGAAGAGGCGAGUGGAAUUCCUGGUGUAGCGGUGGAAUGCGCAGAUAUCAGGAGGAACACCAAUAGCGAAGGCAGCUCGCUGGGACGGUAUUGACGCUAAGGCGCGAAAGCGUGGGGAGCAAACAGG